UCCCCGAUAGCUCAAUGGUAGAGCGCCCGGCUGUUAACCGGGUGGUUGUAGGUUAGAGUCCUACUCGGGGAGCCA
RNAcentral lists this transfer RNA (75 nucleotides) under Bacillota bacterium. Its description in RNAcentral is "Firmicutes bacterium (anaerobic digester metagenome) tRNA-Asn". It matches the Rfam family "tRNA". From Rfam's summary of the family: Transfer RNA (tRNA) molecules are approximately 80 nucleotides in length. Lineage: Bacteria; Bacillati; Bacillota. The record is from RNAcentral.